GUAUCAUGGCUCAGGAUGAACGCUAGCGGCAGGCCUAACACAUGCAAGUCGAGGGGCGAUCGGGAUUGAAGCUUGCUUCAAUUGCCGGCGACCGGCGCACGGGUGCGUAACGCGUAUGUAACCUACCUAUAACAGGGGCAUAACACUGAGAAAUUGGUACUAAUUCCCCAUAAUAUUCGGAGAGGCAUCUCUCCGGGUUGAAAACUCCGGUGGUUAUAGGAUGGACAUGCGUUGUAUUAG
RNAcentral lists this ribosomal RNA (240 nucleotides) under uncultured bacterium. RNAcentral describes it as "partial 16S ribosomal RNA". It matches the Rfam family "Bacterial small subunit ribosomal RNA", at positions 14 to 244 of the family's 1533-position model. The record is from RNAcentral.